RNAcentral lists this ribosomal RNA (407 nucleotides) under uncultured prokaryote. Its description in RNAcentral is "bacterial SSU rRNA". It matches the Rfam family "Bacterial small subunit ribosomal RNA", at positions 355 to 776 of the family's 1533-position model. The record is from RNAcentral. RNAcentral also lists the same sequence under 1 other name.
UGGGGAAUAUUGGGCAAUGGAGGCAACUCUGACCCAGCAACGCCGCGUGAAUGAUGAAGGUCUUCGGAUUGUAAAGUUCUGUGAAGAGGGAAGAAGAAAGUGACAGUACCUCUAGAGCAAGUCACGGCUAACUACGUGCCAGCAGCCGCGGUAAUACGUAGGUGACAAGCGUUGUCCGGAAUGACUGGGCGUAAAGGGUGCGUAGUCGGCUUGUCAAGUUGGUAGUGAGAUUCCAGGGCUCAACUCUGGCGCUAUUACCAAAACUGUCAAGCUUGAGUGCGAGAGAUGUAAGUGGAAUUCCUAGUGUAGCGGUAAAAUGCAUAGAUAUUAGGAGGAACACCAGUGGCGAAGGCGACUUACUGGCUCGUAACUGACGAUGAGGCACGAAAGCGUGGGGAGCAAACAGG